GGCUCAUAGAAACAUCAUACAAGGUAAGGGAAGGUGGAGAAGAGUACCCAAGAAGGACAAGCUUGGAAUGGGGCCCCCUCCCCAGGCUGGAGAUCAGACAUUGUUGGAGAAGGUAUCAUUGCAGCCCCCUACAUAGCAGAGAGAUUUGCUGAGUUGCAUAGUCUAGAGCUGGUUGCAAUUAUUGGACAAGCAGGAAACAAACCUCCACAGCCCAUGCGAGCCACACUGCUGGGUUGAGUGUAUGAGCAUGUAGAAUGAUUGGGUCUCCAGUGCGGACAGAAGGCAUGGAUCGCGUGGUGCCUGUGUUGGGAGGAUACUAAGAGGGCGAUCACCAUGCCAGGACAAGACUAGUUGCCUGGGAUCUUCUGGGCACGUGACUGGAGCAGAGUACCACUGGAUCUCCUCACACCAGCCAGACCCAGGAAGAGAAGCUCCUUUCACCUGCACUGUUCUCUCAGCACCCUCCACGGAGAAAGCUUCAUGUUAUGCUUAGUGUACAGGAGAAAUGCUCAUGGGAAUCCUGUCCAUUAUCACAGAGCAGGUAUUAGUGGGUGAAUAUGGAGCUGAGAAGUAAUAAGUUGUAACUGGCAUAGAUAUCAUGGGGAUAUUUGAAGAACGCUGUGAACACA
Homo sapiens (human) is the source of this 629-nucleotide long non-coding RNA. Ensembl annotates it as long intergenic non-protein coding RNA 857. Lineage: Eukaryota; Metazoa; Chordata; Mammalia; Primates; Hominidae. The record is from Ensembl.